UACGGAGGAUCCAAGCGUUAUCCGGAAUUACUGGGCGUAAAGAGUUGCGUAGGUGGCAGAGUGUGUAGUUAGUGAAAGCGUGUGGCUCAACCAUACUUACAUUAACUAAACUGCUCAGCUAGAGGACAAGAGAGGUACCUGGAAUUCUCAAUGUAGGAGUGGAAUCCGUAGAUAUUGGGAGGAACACCGAUGGCGUAGGCAGGGUACUGGCUUGUUUCUGACACUAAGGCACGAAAGCGUGGGGAGCAAACGGG
RNAcentral lists this ribosomal RNA (254 nucleotides) under uncultured bacterium. RNAcentral describes it as "partial 16S ribosomal RNA". It matches the Rfam family "Bacterial small subunit ribosomal RNA", at positions 524 to 776 of the family's 1533-position model. The record is from RNAcentral.